RNAcentral lists this ribosomal RNA (254 nucleotides) under uncultured bacterium. Its description in RNAcentral is "partial 16S ribosomal RNA". It matches the Rfam family "Bacterial small subunit ribosomal RNA", at positions 524 to 776 of the family's 1533-position model. The record is from RNAcentral.
UACAGAGGGUGCUAGCGUUGUUCGGAAUCAUUGGGCGUAAAGGGCGUGUAGGCGGUUUUUUAAGUCAUGUGUGAAAUCUCUAGGGCUCAACCCAGAAACUGCUUUACAUACUGUCGAGCUGGAGUGAUGAAGAGGUUUGUGGAAUUCCUGGUGUAGCGGUGAAAUGCGCAGAUAUCAGGAGGAACACCGGUGGCGAAGGCGGUUCUCUGGGCAUUACCUGACGCUGAGGAGCGAAAGUGUGGGGAGCGAACAGG